This 1020-nucleotide ribosomal RNA is filed under the name Virgibacillus olivae. Its description in RNAcentral is "bacterial SSU rRNA". It matches the Rfam family "Bacterial small subunit ribosomal RNA", at positions 56 to 1041 of the family's 1533-position model. Lineage: Bacteria; Bacillati; Bacillota; Bacilli; Caryophanales; Bacillaceae. The record is from RNAcentral.
UGCAGUCGAGCGCGGGAAGCAGGCAGAUCCUCUUCGGAGGUGACGCCUGUGGAACGAGCGGCGGACGGGUGAGUAACACGUGGGCAACCUGCCUGUAAGACUGGGAUAACCCCGGGAAACCGGGGCUAAUACCGGAUAAUACUUUUCGUUGCAUAACGAGAAGUUGAAAGGCGGCUUUUAGCUGUCACUUACAGAUGGGCCCGCGGCGCAUUAGCUAGUUGGUAAGGUAACGGCUUACCAAGGCGACGAUGCGUAGCCGACCUGAGAGGGUGAUCGGCCACACUGGGACUGAGACACGGCCCAGACUCCUACGGGAGGCAGCAGUAGGGAAUCUUCCGCAAUGGACGAAAGUCUGACGGAGCAACGCCGCGUGAGUGAUGAAGGUUUUCGGAUCGUAAAACUCUGUUGUCAGGGAAGAACAAGUGCCGUUCGAAUAGGGCGGCACCUUGACGGUACCUGACCAGAAAGCCCCGGCUAACUACGUGCCAGCAGCCGCGGUAAUACGUAGGGGGCAAGCGUUGUCCGGAAUUAUUGGGCGUAAAGCGCGCGCAGGCGGUCCUUUAAGUCUGAUGUGAAAGCCCACGGCUUAACCGUGGAGGGCCAUUGGAAACUGGAGGACUUGAGUACAGAAGAGGAGAGUGGAAUUCCACGUGUAGCGGUGAAAUGCGUAGAGAUGUGGAGGAACACCAGUGGCGAAGGCGACUCUCUGGUCUGUAACUGACGCUGAGGUGCGAAAGCGUGGGGAGCGAACAGGAUUAGAUACCCUGGUAGUCCACGCCGUAAACGAUGAGUGCUAGGUGUUAGGGGGUUUCCGCCCCUUAGUGCUGAAGUUAACGCAUUAAGCACUCCGCCUGGGGAGUACGGCCGCAAGGCUGAAACUCAAAAGAAUUGACGGGGGCCCGCACAAGCGGUGGAGCAUGUGGUUUAAUUCGAAGCAACGCGAAGAACCUUACCAGGUCUUGACAUCCUCUGCCAAUCCUAGAGAUAGGAUGUUCCCUUCGGGGACAGAGUGACAGGUGG